AAGGCAUGUUAUAAUGCGUAUGAAAUAUUGCCUAUAUAAUAGUAAUUAUUUUUUAUCCUUAUCAGUGUUUAUCUCUCAUUGGAGCUCAAUUAAUUGGACUACUUCUAUAAUGGGAAUCUCAUCAAGCGCACCAAAUGGAAAAACGAUACUUCUUGAUAUGGCAUUGUGGGAUAUUUGGAAAGACUACUCCGGGAAACUUGAAGGCUACAUCUACACAGGAAAAAAUCACCACAAGGGUAUUUGCAUCCGAAAAAUGGGAGAAAUGAACAACGAAAAUAUUCUCAACUUUGAUCUUUCCGUGAAUAACAAGGCUAAAUGGGAAGUAAAGGUGACUUCUAGAUCUAGUGACUUGUGGAAUCCAACAGAUGACCAUACUUUUAAAACUACCAACACUUGGGCAUUGACACUACUAGUACUGGCCUUGAUUAAGUUUGGGAAUUCUUUUGGUGGUUGGCAUCUUUGCUGUAACAAUUGCCGCAAAUGGUCCAGUGGCUUUGUCGAGUUUAUUCAAGACCCUAAAGAGUACAAACACUUGAAUCUAGAAAACCCUCCAACUGGGAAUAUGAUUGAAUUUAAGGAGUACUAUAAAGAAAAGCAUAAUUGCUCCAUACUAUUUUCUUGAUCAAAAACAACUGGAAUGUGUUGAUGAACUAUGAACUAUGAACUAUAUAAUUACGUAUGAAUAUAAUCAUGUGUUAUCCGGAAGUACAUCCGGUAGCUUGAGUUGUGCUAAUUACUGUCCCGUGUCUGAUGAUUCUUAACUGAACAUUGA
This is a long non-coding RNA of Halichondria panicea, 772 nucleotides long. RefSeq lists it as uncharacterized. The record is from RefSeq and is a predicted model, not a curated record. Lineage: Eukaryota; Metazoa; Porifera; Demospongiae; Suberitida; Halichondriidae. The transcript has 2 exons.